This 206-nucleotide ribosomal RNA is filed under the name uncultured bacterium. Its description in RNAcentral is "partial 16S ribosomal RNA". It matches the Rfam family "Bacterial small subunit ribosomal RNA", at positions 568 to 774 of the family's 1533-position model. The record is from RNAcentral.
UGCGUAGGCGGGUUUCUAAGUCAGAGGUGAAAGCCUGGAGCUCAACUCCAGAACUGCCUUUGAUACUGGAAGUCUUGAGUAUGGCAGAGGUGAGUGGAACUGCGAGUGUAGAGGUGAAAUUCGUAGAUAUUCGCAAGAACACCAGUGGCGAAGGCGGCUCACUGGGCCAUUACUGACGCUGAGGCGCGAAAGCGUGGGAGCAAACA